This 73-nucleotide small nucleolar RNA is filed under the name Neogobius melanostomus (round goby). Its description in RNAcentral is "Small nucleolar RNA SNORD61 (ENSNMLG00000015271.1)". It matches the Rfam family "Small nucleolar RNA SNORD61". From Rfam's summary of the family: U61 belongs to the C/D class of snoRNA which contain the C (UGAUGA) and D (CUGA) box motifs. Most of the members of the box C/D family function in directing site-specific 2'-O-methylation of substrate RNAs. The record is from Rfam by way of RNAcentral. Lineage: Eukaryota; Metazoa; Chordata; Actinopteri; Gobiiformes; Gobiidae.
GCCUUGAUGACUUUGUAGGUUUGAGUAUCAAGCUGAAACAAAACAUUCAUUUCCUCUAAGAAGUUCUGAGCUC